Molecule: long non-coding RNA, 3781 nt
Organism: Parus major (Great Tit)
Lineage: Eukaryota; Metazoa; Chordata; Aves; Passeriformes; Paridae
Source: Ensembl
CAAGAUGGUAACUAUUUCUUUGGAAGCAGAAAUGGGGGAAAACUUGAUUGUUGAUUCUUGUCUUCCAGAGCUGGAAUCUCCUUGGUUAUUGGCCUAUGUGCCUAUAAGAAGCUGCCACAGAGUGCUGCAGGACAAAUAUGGGGAGUUUUCUCCUCCAACAUUCCAUGCUGAUUUCCCUGUAAGCUUUUGGUGCAACUGGACCAUCUGGGCAGGCUCCAGGAAGUACAUCAUCAUUUAUAUCCGGGGAUUUGUUGCUAGGGAGGCGUGCAACAGAAAUGAGGACAAAAUUCUGUUUGAAGGAGUCUCUUCCCUGGUGGAAAACAGUGUUGUUUAUGCCUGCUGGAAAAAGGAGAUGCAUGUUUUUGCCACCUUUGCUCAGGCUGUCCAUGUUGUGCUGCUGAAGAGGUACUUGCCAAACCGGAGAGAUGCACAAUUUAAAGGGAAGUACUACAUCUUCCAAGAACAGCAAGAUGAUGAAAUUUCUGGAACUUCUGUUUCAAAACUGUCAAAGAAAGGUGGUAUUUUUCAGUCUGGCUGGGUAGAAGACUUUAGAGAUCCACUGGGCUUUGCAACCACACAUGGCAGCACCACCAUGAGAAGCAGUGAGCUGAGGCAGGGAAGGGGGAUCACUCUGGACACCAUGGCUGUGGGAAGUCCUACAGAACUUACCCUAGGUGAACAUGCAAGGACACAGGCUCUGGAAACAAAAGCUCUUUGUGGGCUGGGGGCUCAGGAAGUUCAAGGUAUUGGAGCACCUGAGGGAAUAAUCCCCACUGCAGCACGGGACAUCUUGGGGCAGAAUUCCUCCGUGGGUGAGGACAGCACUGUGAGCUUUGGUCCUGUGCACAGCAUGCUUUUGGAAACUCCUUUGCUUGGUGCCUUCCAGGGAGCAGAACCUUUUUGGCAGCCAGCAGAUGUGAGUCUGGAGAGCAGCCAGCCUGUCCUGAACCCUACCCUGAGGCCAAAAGGUCUGGGCCACCUGCAGUUUACAAUUAAACCAACAGGCACAGGUCACCUGGACUUGGCUGCACGCUCUGAGCCUCUGUCCCCAGGCACAGGACAAAGCCAGGAGGGCACAGGUCCCACCAGGGACAGCCAGCUCAGCACAGCCAGCCUGCAGAAGGAUGGAAGCAGUGCCCAGCUGAGUGUCCCAGCUGAUGGCCUCGCUGAGGGCCUGAUGCCCAGCCUGAGGAGCCCCAGUGAUGUGGUCACCAGGGACCACUUACAGCUGCUACCUGAGAGAAGUCAAAACAGUCUGGGGCAUCUGUGCAUGCCUAAACCUCAGCCAGGCACAACUGGCCUCCAACACACAAAGCUGGUAGAUGUUUUCCCACUGGGAUGUUCUAGGGGAGCUGUCAGGAGAACAGUGCUGCAUCCCACAGUGCCAGGGCUCGCUGUACCUGCUUUAGCAACAGGGCUGGAGCAUCCUCUCACACCUGUGCCUGCCCUGGGGACAGAAACAAUCCCUGUGCUGGUGACCUCCUCUGCAGCACCUGUCCCUGCAGAUUUUGGCUCUCUGGAUUUAAUCCCUGAAGCGCCUCUUCCUCCACAAGUGGAGUCUGUGUCCAUGGUGGCCUCUUUCCCAGCUGCUCUGGAUCAGGAUCCUGUCAGUCUCAGGCAAAGGGACACCUCCCCAGCUAGCCCAGGAGGACAGGACAUGAUCUUCCCUUCACCACCCUGCUAUCCAUCAGUAGCCUCUGAACUGGGCACUGAUGGGUCCUCCAGAUGCCUUGGCUCUAGGAUGCAAAAGUUGGUGCCUGGUGGACAGGCAGGUGGCCAGGGAGGCAAAACCACAGCCUCUGUGGGCUUGAUGGCCAGGAGUCCCUCCCCAGUCUUUGUCACUGUCCCAGGGCCUGGUGUGAGGCUUACUCAGCCUGAGGGCCAUGUCAGCAGUGGCUCUGGGGGGACACCAGCUUCCCUGGCUGGCACCAGAGAGGAGCACGAGGUGCCUGUGCAGCAUCAGCACAGUGCUGCUAGUGACAAACCAGCUUCUGCCUCCAACUUCAGGGGAUUUAAAAUACAGGGAACCACAGAAACUGUGCCAGUGGGUUCAGGACAGAGGACAACUGCCUCCUUCAGCAUCACUCCUGCACAUGCUGAUCUGCCUGCAGCUCCGUGGGGAGAAACACUGCCAGGAGACCAACAGCCUUGGGAGCCCUCUGGUGUACCCAGGAACACCCAGGUGCCAGAAGGACAGCCAGAGAAACAUGCUGAGCUGGGCCCUCCCUGGGUAACCGAGUACUUUCCCAUCAGGAGCUGCCACCUCACCUUCCGGGGCGGGUCUGGCAUGUUUUACCUCCCUCUGCAUGCUGAGCCCAACACCUGGUGCAACUGGACCAUCUGGGCAGGCCCCCAGAAGCACAUUGUCAUCUAUGUCCAAGGGUUCCAGGGGAGCGACGGCUGUGGCAACAACCAGGACAAGAUCAUCUUCCAGGGGGUCUCGUCAAGUGUGGAAACCAAAGUGGUGUUUGCCUGCCACAACAGAGGCACUCUGAUCUUUGCUGCACAAGCCACAGAGGUCCAGGUGUUGUUUCUGUCAGGGAGUGGUUCCAGAAGCCAUGAAUACAGGUAUUUUAAAGGACAGUAUUAUGUAUUCAGGGACUCUGAAGCUGUGGGCUCUUCGAGUGAUACCGUAGCAGCUCCCCAGGAGACUGUCCAGGACACCUCUGGAAAAGAGAGCUGGAGGACAGCGGUGACCAAAGGUUUAUUGUCCAUGCUGACAGCUCCUCCAGGCCCACCUGCUGGAGGCAGGAUCCAACCUAACACUAUGAGCCCAAAAGAAGUGGCCCAACGUUCUCCUGAUCUCAUGGAAGGUGGUCAGCCUGGUGCUAACCUGAGCGAGCAUGGUCAGGAUGAAACCAGGCUGGAAAGGAACCUUAAGGAUGGUGGCAGCAAGGGCAGAGAACCUGAAGAAGACAUGUUGGUGGAGCCAGCUCCAGCUGGGCAAGACACUGAGGGUAAAGCUGAGCCACCUGCCUUGGAGCUGACCACAGGGGACACAGAGCCAGGGACUGCUCUGGCCACCAUGGUCCCGUGUCACCCAGCUGGCUCCCCUCGCUCAGAGAUGCCCAGCAGCAGUGUAGGUGUCUCUGAGACAUCACCUACCCUGGGUCAGACCAGUGACAGCCCCUCAGAAGUGGCAGCUGCUGCACACCACACACAGACACCAGUGCUGGCAGAGCCACCACUAGGCACCAGCACAAAAACACCCCUCUACCCCUCUCCUGGUGUGACUGCUGCUGACGUGGUGUCUCUGGGAGGAAGGACUGAAGACCUCUUUGGUCUGAUGUCAUCUGUGGAGAACAACACAGGAUUGCAUUCCCAGCACCAUCCUGGAGAUGUGCUGUUUGAAGUCACUGUUGAAAUCAAACCCAAGGACUGGAUUCCUCAUGGUGGAAGUGAGCUCCAAAAGGGUCUCCUUGAAUCUCUGAAGAAUCACAUCCAGAAGAACCUGAAGCUUUCUGCCAAUAGAGUCAGUGAAAUAAAGUUAAAGGAUGUCAAAAGGACGAGUGAUGCCAACCUGCUGCUCACCUUCUGGCUGCACCUGGAGCCGGAGGAAAGGAACGUGUCUCUGCUCCUGCGCUCCCAGCUGCAGCAGCUGCUUGGCACCUCGGUGGGUGCGGAGAAGCUGCAGCUUGUUUCACUGUUUGUUGAAGAUGUGAACGAGUGCCAGGCUGGGGUUGGUCUCUGUGGGGAGGAGGCAGAGUGCCUCAAUGGCGUGGGCACCUACCUGUGUCGCUGCAAGAAGGGCUAUGAGGAUCAUUCCCCCACCAAAUCCGGC